AUCGGUCUGAAGGGACGCUCUCUAACAAGACUGCUGAAGUAGUCUUGCUUUUCAGAAAAAUUGAAAAUAUGUUUCCUAUAUUAAUAGCUAUUUGUUUUACCCAGAAACACCACAAGUAGUAGGGUCAGUGCAACUGAAGAUAUGGAAGGGGGAAAAAAAACGCAUGUUGGGGAAGGUGAAAAUUCUCAGCCUGUUUUUGCUACUUCAAGUUUCUGAGCUAUAGUUACUACUGUUAUGACCACAGUUUUUCAAGGACUGCAGUAUUUUUCUAUUGCUAACAGGGAACAGGUUUUUGCUUUUUCAGUCAUUUGACUGAUAGGCACUAGUAGGAUAACUUUAUUAUUUAUGACUCCUAUACUUAUGCAGAAACACAAGUUCUCAACGGUUUUGAAUCUGCAAAUGGCAGUGAAGGAGUGAAACAACAACAAAAAAAACUUCAGGAUUUAUUACUUGAAGGCACUGCAAGCAAGACUGUACAAAGCUCCUUUUCCUGCAUCUUGCAGCUGCCUCUGAAGCUUCCCCUGGGCACAUCAUGCCACCAUGGGAACCAUGUGGUGGUCUCAUUACUCCAGAAUAGCUUGAAGGCAUCUAACACAGGCAUUGUUUUCUCCCCUGUUCCGCUUGAGAGUGAGCAAGUGGUUGUGUGGGUGUUUGCUUGUGGAGCCCCGUGA
Molecule: long non-coding RNA, 671 nt
Filed under: Anser brachyrhynchus (Pink-footed goose)
Lineage: Eukaryota; Metazoa; Chordata; Aves; Anseriformes; Anatidae
Description: lncRNA (ENSABRG00000017221.1)
Source: RNAcentral